AUUUUGUCAAUGUGUUAGUUCGUAUUCGUAAGUUGCUAUUGUGAGUACGCGAAUACGUUCGAUUUUGUGAUAUCUUUUUUUGGUGACCGAGUACGCACGUUUUGUGCCGGUAUAUCGCUGUGCAAUUUUAUUUAUCGUGUAAUAGUUUAUUUAUUGUUUUUUUUUUGUUUGGUAAUUAGAGUGAUAAUUAUUAAUCGUAUCGUCGUUAGUAGUGUUUAUAUAGAGUUGUAGUGCAGCAAGAAAAGUUUGUAAAACUAACUCCAGUUUGCGAACUUGGCCAAAGGAAAAGGCUGAUUGUGAUUUUUACAGCGUGCAAAAUCUGCUGUCUGUCAGUAGCGUGUGUUUCGCUGUUUCUUUCUUUAUUUCGAAUUACGACACGAGACGAAGUCGAUCGUUUAGAUUAUUUAUUUUAAAUAGCAAGUUUGUGUGCAUAUCAACGUAACCGAAACGCUUUUCUGAUUGGUCUUCGUCGUUCUCAGAUGGAACACGAUAGUUGGAAUUUACCUCCUAAAGACGGCUUAUAUGAUCCUGAAUUAGAGAAAGAUGCCUGCGGUGUUGGUUUCAUCGUCUCGAUUGAUGGCAAAAGUUGUCACAAGAUCGUAGAAGAUGCGGAGAAGUUAUCGUCUCGUAUGAACCAUCGUGGUGCCUGCGCUUGCGAUAAUGAUACUGGUGACGGAGCCGGCGUUUUGACCGCUAUUCCUCAUGAAUUUUUUCACGCUAUACUCAAAGAUGAAAAUAUCGAUCUACCAGCCAAGGGUAAAUACGCAACCGGAAUCGUGUACACCGAUAAGCAGCACCAUCAAGAUGGCGAAAAAAUAUUCGAUCAGAUUGCCCAAGAAUGUAAACUACGGGUCUUGUAUUGGCGAACGGUGCCUACGAAGAAUUCGGGUAUCGGUGAAGUGGCCCGAGGCAGCGAACCUUUCAUGCGGCAGGUCUUCGUCGUUCAGGAUGUGGAAAUGGAGGAAGAAGUGUUUAAGCGACAGAUAUUCGUGUUGAGGAAAAGAGCAACUCAUACGAUACCGAAACCGGGACGAAGAUUUUAUAUUUGUUCGUUAUCUUCGGCCAUUAUCGUCUACAAAGGACAGCUCACCGGUGAUCAGUUAUGGACGUAUUUUGUGGAUUUGAAAAAUCCGCAAUUCGAAACAUAUCUAGCCUUGGUGCAUACGAGAUUCUCGACGAACACGUUUCCAAGUUGGGAGCGAGCCCAUCCUCUAAGGAUGCUAGCUCAUAACGGCGAAAUAAACACGUUACGCGGUAACGUGAACUUCAUGAAAGCCCGCGAAGGUGUCAUGAAAAGUUCGUACGUCGAUAACAUCAAGCAGCUGUAUCCGGUAGUCGAGCCGAAUUUGUCGGAUUCCGGAUCGUGCGAUUGUGUAUUGGAAUUUUUAGUCAUGGCCGGAGGCCGAUCUUUGCCAGAGGCUAUUAUGACCAUGGUACCGGAAGCUUGGCAUAACGACGUUACUAUGCCAAAAGAGAAGAAAGAUUUUUAUAAUUGGGCAGCCUGCGCUAUGGAACCUUGGGAUGGUCCGGCGUUGUUUACGUUCACCGAUGGACGUUAUGUGGGUGCUAUUUUAGAUAGAAAUGGAUUGAGACCUUCGAGGUUCUACGUGCUGAAAGAUAACAUUAUGGUGAUGGCGUCCGAAGUUGGAGUAUACGAUACGGAUCCGGAAAAUGUGGCUUUGAAAAGUCGUUUGAAACCGGGCCGAAUGUUAUUGGUAGACACGAAAGAAAAAACCAUCAUCCAAGAUGUCGAAUUGAAACAGCACAUAGCUACCUCGCGUCCAUACACGAAUUGGUUAUCAGAACAGAUCUUAAUGGACGAGUUACGCAACGAAGCUGUGAAAAAAGUCGGCCUAGUUAAAGCCAAAUCUAUCGAAUUCGUCAGCGGUGGAAAGAAUAAAUAUAUAUCGGAUAAUCUACCCGAGCAUGAGAUCACCAGGAUUUGGGGCGGUGACCGAAGACUUUCGUUAUUCAGUUACACCAUCGAAACGAUUACUAUGCUUUUGUUACCUAUGAUUCGUACCGGUAAAGAAGCUCUCGGAUCGAUGGGAAAUGACGCUCCUUUGGCUUGUCUGUCGCGAUUCCAACCUUUACUUUAUGAUUAUUUCAAACAGCUUUUCGCUCAGGUCACUAACCCGCCUAUUGAUCCGAUUCGUGAGAAAGUCGUCAUGUCUCUGAUGUGUCCCAUCGGACCAGAAGGAAACAUCUUGAUACCAGGACCUCAGCAAUGUCAUCGUAUCUUUUUACCCAACCCGAUUAUUUCGCUUUACGAUCUCGAAGUGCUCAGAUGCAAUACUCAUCGAGGAUGGAAAACGAAAGUUAUCGACAUCACGUUCCAUAAAUCCGAAGGCAAAAAAGGGUUCUUGAAUAGUUUGACUAGAGUUUGUGACGAAGCUUGUCAAGCAGCCAUGGGUAAUUACCAGCUGAUCAUCUUGUCCGAUCGCAAAGCUUCGGCUAACAGGAUACCGCUGAGUAUUUUAUUGGCUUUGGGUGCUGUUCAUCAUCAUCUCAUUGAAGAGAGACAAAGGAUGAAAGUUGGAUUGAUUUUGGAAACUGGAGAAGCCAGAGAGGUGCAUCAUAUGUGCGUUCUUCUCGGUUACGGAGCUGAUGCCAUUUGCCCCUAUUUGGUAUUUGAAAUGGCCAAGAGUCUUAGAGAGGAAGGCGUUUUGGAUUCGUCUUUCACCGAUAAAGUUGUUUUCGAGAGUUAUUCGGAAGCAAUGGAUAAAGGUAUCUCGAAAGUGAUGGCUAAAAUGGGCAUAUCAACGCUGCAAUCGUACAAAGGUGCUCAAAUCUUCGAAUCUAUCGGUUUAGCUGACGAAGUGAUCAAUCGAUGCUUCAAAGGCACACCUUCUCGUAUCGGUGGAGUAGAUUUCGACGUAUUGGCCGAGGAGGCUUUCGAAAGGCACCAUCUUUCGUAUUCCGAACGUAGCGUCGAUAUGUUGGUUCUACGUAACCCUGGAUACUACCACUGGCGAAGUGGAGGCGAGAAACAUAUCAAUGAUCCUUUGAGUAUCGCUAAUUUACAAGAAGCGGUCAACAAUAAAAGCGACACCGCGUACAAUAAAUUCUGCGAGUCUACCAUGGACAGCGUGAAAGAAUGCACGUUACGAGGUCAGCUAGAGUUAAUCCCGUCCAGAAGUCCAGUUCCUAUCGAACAAGUCGAACCAGCGGCUGCUAUUGUGAAAAGAUUCGCCACAGGUGCCAUGAGUUUGGGCAGUAUCUCGAUCGAGGCUCAUUCGACUCUGGCUGUUGCCAUGAAUCGUAUCGGUGGUAAAUCCAACACAGGAGAAGGAGGUGAGGAAGCAGACCGAUACCUGGACACAGAUCUGCAAAAUUCCAAACGCUCGGCUAUCAAGCAAGUAGCUUCGGGACGAUUCGGUGUCACUAGCUCGUACCUGGCGCACGCCGACGAUCUGCAGAUUAAAAUGGCUCAAGGAGCCAAACCAGGAGAAGGUGGCGAGUUACCCGGAUACAAAGUUACCGAAGAUAUUGCUCGUACUAGGCAUUCCGUUCCCGGAGUCGGGCUCAUAUCGCCUCCUCCUCAUCACGAUAUUUACUCGAUCGAAGAUUUGGCCGAGUUGAUUUACGAUCUCAAAUGCGCCAAUCCGAAUGCUCGUGUUUCGGUCAAGCUGGUAUCCGAAGUCGGAGUUGGUGUUGUUGCUUCUGGUGUGGCUAAAGGUAAAGCUGAACAUAUCACCAUUUCCGGUCACGACGGUGGUACCGGCGCUAGUUCUUGGACUGGUAUCAAGAACGCCGGUGUACCUUGGGAAUUAGGUGUCGCCGAGACCCAUCAAGUCUUGGUGUUGAAUAAUCUACGAUCCAGAGUCGUUAUUCAAGCCGAUGGACAGAUUCGAACUGGUUUCGACGUAAUCGUAGCCGCCAUCUUGGGAGCGGACGAAAUCGGCAUGAGUACCGCGCCUUUGAUCGCCAUGGGUUGCACGAUGAUGAGAAAAUGUCACUUGAACACCUGCCCGGUCGGUAUCGCUACUCAGGAUCCGGAACUGCGCAAGAAAUUCGCCGGUAAACCGGAACACGUGAUUAAUUAUCUAUUCAUGCUGGCCGAAGAAGUCCGAGAACAUAUGGCCAAUCUGGGUAUCAAACGGUAUCAAGAUCUCAUUGGUAGAACCGAUUUACUCAAGACGUCCGAAAACCUGAAUAAUCCCAAGGCGAAGUUCUUAAACUUGGGAUUAAUUUUGAAAAAUGCUCUGCACAUGAGACCUGGAGUCGAUAUUGUGGCUGGAUCGAAAACUCAAGAUUUCCAAUUGGAGAAACGACUCGAUAAUAUUUUGUACGAAAAAUCGUUACCGGUUUUGAAUGGUGAAAAGAAGAGUGUGGAUAUCGAAUUGGUUAUUAAUAACGAAUGCCGAGCUUUCGCUUCUACUCUCAGUUACCAUAUUUCAAUGAAAUACGAUCAAGGAUUACCAGAAAAAAGCAUCAAUAUCUAUUUGAAAGGAUCCGCUGGUCAGAGUUUCUGCGCAUUCUUGACCAAAGGAGUCCACGUAACCUUGGAAGGAGACGCCAAUGACUACGUUGGCAAAGGUUUGUCUGGAGGUGAAGUGAUCAUAUAUCCUCCGAAAUCAUCUACCUUCGAAUCGCACAAAAACGUCAUCGCUGGUAACGUUUGUCUUUACGGUGCCACUUGCGGUAAAGCUUUCUUCAGAGGUAUCGCUGCAGAGAGAUUCUGCGUCAGAAAUUCCGGAGUUGUUACGGUUUGCGAGGGUGUUGGUGAUCACGGUUGUGAGUACAUGACUGGAGGAUGUGCUGUGAUUUUGGGUUUGACAGGACGUAAUUUUGCAGCUGGUAUGUCCGGUGGUAUUGCUUACGUCUUGGAUGUCGAUGGCAGUUUUAACAGCAAAUGCAACAAAGAAAUGGUGGAAUUGUUACCGUUGAACGAUCCCAAGGAUCUGGACUACGUUAAAGAUCUCCUGAUCGAAUUCGAAUCGAAAACUGGCUCGCUUAUCGCAAAAAACUUGAUCGAAAACUGGCCCGCAGCUGCUGAGAAAUUCGUCAAAGUAUUCCCGUUCGAAUACCAGAGAGCAUUGAAACAAAUGGCUGCCAAACAACCGGCUACUGCUGCCAAUGACGGCAAAGCACCGCAGAAACAAGCCUCAGGCGAUCAAGGAGCUGCUAAACCUGGUUCCGGCUCUGUUAAAGAUAUCGAAGAGACCGUCACCGAUGCUUCGUUCCAGAAAAAGAAACUGGAGAUGAUUUUGGAUAAGACUAGAGGUUUCGUCAAAUACGGUCGUGAAACGAACCCUUAUCGUUCGGUCGAGAAACGUAUGAACGACUGGGAUGAAAUUUACAAUUUCCCAUACGUACGUAAGAAUCUGCAAGUGCAAGCUGCUCGUUGCAUGGAAUGCGGUGUACCGUUCUGCCAAUCUUCUCACGGAUGCCCGUUGGGUAACAUUAUACCCAAAUGGAACGACCUGGUUUUCAAUAAUAACUGGACCGAAGCUUUGAAUCAGCUCUUGCAGACGAAUAAUUUCCCUGAAUUCACCGGUCGAGUAUGUCCGGCACCUUGCGAAGGAGCUUGCGUGCUCGGAAUUAACGAGCUGCCCGUUACCAUUAAGAACAUAGAAUGCGCCAUUAUCGACAACGCUUUCGAAAAAGGAUGGAUCAAAGCUGAAAUCCCGUUGAAACGAUCUGGUAAAAAAGUAGCCAUCGUCGGAUCCGGUCCUGCUGGAUUGGCUGCCGCUCAUCAGCUCAAUAAAGCUGGUCAUUGGGUUACUGUUUACGAACGUAAUAAUCGAGUCGGAGGUCUCCUACGAUACGGUAUUCCUACGAUGAAACUUUCCAAAGAAGUUGUACAAAGAAGAGUAACGCUGUUGGCCGAAGAAGGUAUCGAGUUCAAGACGAAUAUCAACGUAGGAAAAGAUAUUUCGGCUAAAGAAUUAGUGCAAGAUUACGACGCGUUGAUCCUGUGUACUGGAGCGACCUGGCCCAGAGAUUUACCCAUUCCAGGAAGACAACUGGAAGGUAUUCACUUCGCGAUGAACUUCUUGGAAUCGUGGCAGAAGAAACAAGCCGGCGAUAUGAACGUACCGCCUAUUUUGGCCAAAGACAAAGACGUAAUUGUGAUCGGAGGAGGUGAUACGGGAUGCGAUUGUAUCGGAACUUCCUUCAGACAGGGUGCUAAUUCGGUGAUAGCUUUCGAAAUCUUACCAGAACCUCCGACUAGCAGGUCGAAAGAUAAUCCAUGGCCUCAGUUCCCUCGCGUUUUCAAAGUCGAUUACGGACACGAAGAAGUUCGCGCCAAAACUGGCAAAGAUCCUCGUCAAUUUAGCAUUUUAAGCAAAGAAUUCAUCGAUAAUGGUAAAGGACAAAUCAGCGGUAUAAAAACAGCUCAAGUCAAAUGGACGAAAGACGAAAUCGGAAGGUGGAAAAUGGAUGAAAUACCCGGAUCGGAAAAAGUAUUCAAAUGUGACCUAGUGUUUUUGGCAAUGGGUUUCUUGGGUCCGGAAAAGUAUAUCUCGACCGAACUCGACUUGAAACUAGAUCCUCGCUCGAAUUACGAAACGCCUGCUGGAAAGUAUUCCACGUCGCAUCCUAAAGUUUUCGCUGCCGGAGACUGCAGACGAGGACAAUCUCUGGUCGUAUGGGGUAUCACCGAGGGUCGUCAAGCGGCCAAAGAAGUCGAUCAGUACCUAAUGGGCAGCACCGAUUUACCAGGUGCUGGUGGCAUGAUCACAGCAUCGUGCGUUUCUUAAUUCCUAAAAAUGUUAAUUAUCAUCCAUUCAUCAUACACCAUCGCGUGUGACGAGGACGAUCUAUCAGAAAAGAUUUAAAAAAGAAUGCUGCGGUGUACGAUGGUCAUCUUCGAAUCAGCUCAAUUGAAUUAUCAUUCCUCUACAUGAACGGAUCUUAUCGUAUAAUUUUCUAUUUACUACGCGAGAAAAAAAUCUCAUCGAUGUGCUUACCUAUAAUGGUAUCUUUCCUUUUGAUUUUUCCUCCUAUUUCAAUUUUUAUUCUUCUACGUACGUAAGCUAAUAAUUACGUAUAACUUUAUCGAACAGCUGCUGAAAAUGAUUGAUUUUUUAAAAUUAUACCUACCCAAUUACCUACCUAUUAUCUAAUUUUGGAAACUCGAGCACAGUCACAGAAGGCAUUUCAAAUUGCCUAUCGUAAAAUUUGGCUUCCAUUUUUCUUUCUUUCGUUUUGUUAUCUACAAUCACUGCGACAAUAAUAUUGAACUUGUUUUUUUUCUAACGGAUUUUUUUUCUUGUAUCAUGGGUUGUAUGUGUAAGUUUUCUUAUUGGGUAGCCGUAGUGUCCCUCCUUCCCUCUUUGUUUAUUUUUGAAAAAUAUAAAAUCAAAAUUUACUACGGCGAUGUGUAAGUUACUAUUUUAACGUGCCUUGGAGUGAUGAUGCUUUUUACGAGUUAUACUAACUACGUUUUUAAUUCUAGUCAAAGUAAUAAGUGUGUAAUUAAAUAGAAAGUUGCAUUCGUUAUGGAGUCGGGCACUUUUCAUUACCUAUAUAUUCGAGCAACACUGAUUCGUCUUCGGCCUCCCAUCCGCGUUUUUUUUGUAGUCCUUCAUCCUGUUUUAUUCUUUUUUUAAAAAAAGUAUCGCGGUGGUUUUGUUUUUUUUUUCUUUUUUUUGUUUCUGUUUAAUAAUUUUUUUUUCUAAAUUAAACUUUUGAUUGUUGAGAAAUUUUUCUGCAUUUAUGUGUUACUAUAUUUUAAAUAGAAUAUGAUCAUUAUUGGUUAUAUGAUUAAUUACGUUAUAUAAAUAUAUAAUACAUUUUAUAUUAUUAAGUUACCUCUUUUUUUUCUGUUUUUGUUCUAUUUAUAUACGUCAUAUACAUAUUUAUAUUUAUAAUUAUUUUAUCGUUGAUAAGCUUUGAAUGUUUUUAUUGUACUACCUACCCCUCUUCUUCUCUAUAUAAGCGACUGUAAGCGACAUGAUUUUAUUUUAGCGCCUCGUAAAAAUGUCGAUUUUUAUUCAUUCUUUUAAAUGUGAACAAAGGUGGGUGUUUUUUUUUCGUUUUUUUUUCAUUCAAUGAUUGAUAACGCACAGCUUGACCUCUCUUUUUCUCUUUUUUUUUUGGUCUUAAAAAUGUUUAACUUGGGUAUGUCUAAAGUCAAUUAGAAAUGUGUAUAAGUUGAAUGAUUACAACGCAAGACGCUCUCGAUGCUCCAUCCAUUUUUUUCGAAUUUUUUUAUCGAUUUUUUUUUUUUUCUAAAACAUGUUACCUGGGAAUUGAAAGUGCAGGUUUCUAUGUUGUUUUUAAGAUUGUUCACAUAGACAUUAGACAAUAAUUAUUAUUAUGUUAUUUCUUGAGAAUAAAAAAGCUUUCACUGAGA
Molecule: RNA transcript, 8305 nt
Organism: Planococcus citri (citrus mealybug)
Lineage: Eukaryota; Metazoa; Arthropoda; Insecta; Hemiptera; Pseudococcidae
Exons: 37
Source: RefSeq, a predicted model, not a curated record